RNAcentral lists this ribosomal RNA (325 nucleotides) under uncultured bacterium. RNAcentral's name for it is "bacterial SSU rRNA". It matches the Rfam family "Bacterial small subunit ribosomal RNA", at positions 28 to 334 of the family's 1533-position model. The record is from RNAcentral.
GACGAACGCUGGCGGCGUGCUUAACACAUGCAAGUCGAACGGAGUGCCCAAGAAAGAGGCUUCGGCCAAUGGACUGGGUUACUUAGUGGCGGACUGGUGAGUAACGCGUGAGGAACCUGCCUUUCAGAGGGGGACAACAGUUGGAAACGACUGCUAAUACCGCAUGAUAUCAUUGAGCGGCAUCGUUUGAUGAUCAAAGAUUUUAUCGCUGAAAGAUGGCCUCGCGUCUGAUUAGCUAGUUGGUGGGGUAACGGCCCACCAAGGCGACGAUCAGUAGCCGGACUGAGAGGUUGACCGGCCACAUUGGGACUGAGAUACGGCCCAG